Molecule: ribosomal RNA, 802 nt
Filed under: Gloniopsis leucaenae
Lineage: Eukaryota; Fungi; Ascomycota; Dothideomycetes; Hysteriales; Hysteriaceae
Description: SSU rRNA
Rfam family: Eukaryotic small subunit ribosomal RNA
Source: RNAcentral
AUUCAAAUAUCUGCCCUAUCAACUUUCGAUUGUAGGGUAUUGGCCUACAAUGGUAUCAACGGGUAACGGGGAAUUAGGGUUCGAUUCCGGAGAGGGAGCCUGAGAAACGGCUACCACAUCCAAGGAAGGCAGCAGGCGCGCAAAUUACCCAAUCCCGACACGGGGAGGUAGUGACAAUAAAUACUGAUACAGGGCUCUUUUGGGUCUUGUAAUUGGAAUGAGUACAAUUUAAAUCCCUUAACGAGGAACAAUUGGAGGGCAAGUCUGGUGCCAGCAGCCGCGGUAAUUCCAGCUCCAAUAGCGUAUAUUAAAGUUGUUGCAGUUAAAAAGCUCGUAGUUGAACCUUGGGCCUGGCUGGCCGGUCCGCCUCACCGCGUGCACUGGUCCGGCCGGGCCUUUCCUUCUGGAGAACCGCAUGCCCUUCACUGGGUGUGUCGGGGAACCAGGACUUUUACUGUGAAAAAAUUAGAGUGUUCAAAGCAGGCCUUUGCUCGAAUACAUUAGCAUGGAAUAAUAGAAUAGGACGUGCGGUCCUAUUUUGUUGGUUUCUAGGACCGCCGUAAUGAUUAAUAGGGAUAGUCGGGGGCAUCAGUAUUCAAUUGUCAGAGGUGAAAUUUUUGGAUUUAUUGAAGACUAACUACUGCGAAAGCAUUUGCCAAGGAUGUUUUCAUUAAUCAGUGAACGAAAGUCAGGGGAUCGAAGACGAUCAGAUACCGUCGUAGUCUUGACCGUAAACUAUGCCGACUAGGGAUCGGGCGAUGUUAUUAUUUUGACUCGCUCGGCACCUUACGAGAAAUCAAAG